RNAcentral lists this long non-coding RNA (224 nucleotides) under Elaeis guineensis (African oil palm). RNAcentral describes it as "long non-coding RNA (EGUI_LNC065104)". The record is from RNAcentral. Lineage: Eukaryota; Viridiplantae; Streptophyta; Magnoliopsida; Arecales; Arecaceae.
GCAGGGUCUACAAGAAAUAAAGAGUCUGAAUAAGUGUAGCUUCGAGUUGUUCGAUGCUAGUGGAGAAUCCAUUCAGGCCGAAGCCAUAGGAAUCAGGAUUUUUUAGCCUGAAUGGAAUCAAAAUUUUGAAGUUACCUUCAGACAAAAUUUUGAAACUGAAGACCUAUUAUUAUUUUUUUAAUAUUGUUAAAAAUAUUAUUUCAGUACUAUUGUUAUUGGAACAA